CAAUAGCGUAUAUUAAAGUUGUUGCGGUUAAAAAGUUCGUAGUUGGAUUUCUGCCAAGGACGACCGGUCCGCCCUCUGGGUGAGUAUCUGGCUUGGCCUGGGCAUCUUCUUGGAGAACGUUGCUGCGCUUCACUGCGUGGUGCGGUAUCCAGGACUUUUACUUUGAGGAAAUUAGAGUGUUUCAAGCAGGCUUCCGCCUUGAAUACAUUAGCAUGGAAUAAUAAGAUAGGACCUCGGUUCUAUUUUGUUGGUUUCUAGAGCUGGGGUAAUGAUUAAUAGGGAUAGUUGGGGGCAUUCGUAUUUAACUGUCAGAGGUGAAAUUCUUGGAUUUGUUAAAGACGGACUACUGCGAANGNAUUUGGNAAGGAUGUUUNCAUUG
This 379-nucleotide ribosomal RNA is filed under the name uncultured eukaryote. RNAcentral describes it as "partial 18S ribosomal RNA". It matches the Rfam family "Eukaryotic small subunit ribosomal RNA", at positions 592 to 975 of the family's 1831-position model. The record is from RNAcentral.